Molecule: small RNA, 127 nt
Filed under: Marmota monax (woodchuck)
Lineage: Eukaryota; Metazoa; Chordata; Mammalia; Rodentia; Sciuridae
Source: RNAcentral
GCUGGGUGUGGUGAUGCACACAUGUAAUCCCAGUGACUUGGAAGCCUAAGGCAGGAGGAUCGUAAGUUUGAGGUGAGCCUCAGCAUCUUAGUGAGACCCUCAGCAAUGUAGUGAGACCUUGUCUCAG